Acanthosepion pharaonis is the source of this 114-nucleotide non-coding RNA. The record is from the annotation of a GenBank genome assembly. Lineage: Eukaryota; Metazoa; Mollusca; Cephalopoda; Sepiida; Sepiidae.
UUACGGCCACAUCACGUUGAAACACCAGUUCCCGUACGAUCACUGAUGUUAAGCAAUGUUGAGCAUGGCCAUUAUCUAAAUGGGUGACCGCUUGGGAAUACCAAGUGCUGUAAG